AGCGACCGGCAGGCACACGAGACCGGCGCGCGGAAACAUUCCACAUUACCAAUGGCGAACAGCCUUCAUCCCAUUCACGUUUAUCACUGGUGCAUCGCAUCAUCGAUGGCUUGACCGUUUCGCGGUCGCAAAUCCAAGGUUUUACCUUUGUGUGUAUCGGUUGGCUGGGUCCUCGUACAUAAUCGUGACCGCAGAAUGGUUCCGGAGCGUCAUAUCCUUCGGCACGAUUAAAGAACCGACGACUUUAAUCCCGGACGAGUGUCCACGGGAACGCUGGGAAUACGAUUCCAGCAUAAAGCGACGACUUUAUGGUUAUUCGACGUACGAUUCGCUGACGGGUUCACUUUGUGGAAGACAACGGGGCUGGAAGGAAGAGGAACAGGGAGGCGGAGGAAGACGAUGACGAGGAGGAGAACGAGGACGACUCACGAAGGACGACAAAACGCAGCAGCCACGCCGGUUUUGCUACCUGAACGCUUGCUCCCAGCGAGAGCUUUCUUUCAUCUAACGGGUGACGCGUUGUGAAUUGAAAUAUUUGACAUUUUAAAGUAAGAAGUAAUUCGCUUCGUUUUUCAUUUUUCGACAACAAUCCAUGUUCAGUUCUGUCACUUCAAGAAUUUUUCAAUUUCGGUGUUUUACUAUUUGGAAAAUCAGAUUUGACGUGGUACAGAACUUUCGGUUUAUUGAAUUCUGUUUGUGUUCGUUUAGUUAAUUUUGUUUGUUCGUGUCGAUAACUUUCUCGAUAUUACUCGGCUUGUUUUUUCUUCCUUGUUCAGUUAAUCUUUAGAAUCGAAUGCAACAAAAUUUCUUUUUUUAUUUUAUCGUUAAUAAUAGAACCUUAUCUUUCCUGAUGUUUGCCUAAAGAAGACAUUACUGUACAAUGUAAAGUAGAUAGAUUUCUUUUUAAACAAUAUUUUUUUACUGCUUUCUUAAAAUAGUAUGUCUCUAAUUUAUUCAGUUAAUGUGGUAAAUUUAUAGUAAUUAUACUUCAUAGUACUCUUAUUUUUGAACUGCAUUAGCGGACAAAUUCCUCUUUGGGCUAAUCCAUUUGUUAUUUCGCUAAAGAUAGAGAUGGUUACUGUAAGGGAAUUUGCUGUAUCCAGAGGCUUUCCAUGGAAUCCCUCCUUGAUUGCGUGAACUGACUGUUAACGUAGCGCAGAAAUAGCGGAGAAACAUUUCAGAAAUAAACUGUGAACUUCACCGUCAGGUGUAGCCAUGAA
This is a long non-coding RNA of Bombus impatiens (common eastern bumble bee), 1220 nucleotides long. RefSeq lists it as uncharacterized. The record is from RefSeq and is a predicted model, not a curated record. Lineage: Eukaryota; Metazoa; Arthropoda; Insecta; Hymenoptera; Apidae. The transcript has 2 exons.